GAUGCACUCACAGGUCUUCCAAAUAGUGCUUUAUUAAUCAAUAUCUAUAUGCAUCCUAUUGAUUAAUAAAGCACUAUUUGGAAGACCUGUGAGUGCAUC
Molecule: microRNA precursor, 99 nt
Filed under: Pelobates cultripes (western spadefoot toad)
Lineage: Eukaryota; Metazoa; Chordata; Amphibia; Anura; Pelobatidae
Source: RNAcentral